This 563-nucleotide small RNA is filed under the name Pongo abelii (Sumatran orangutan). RNAcentral describes it as "processed transcript". Lineage: Eukaryota; Metazoa; Chordata; Mammalia; Primates; Hominidae. The record is from RNAcentral.
CAGUGACGAGGUCCGCUACGUAAAUCCCUUUGCGGCGGGAUAAAUAAAGAAAACGGGAAAGGAGGAAAGCAUUGAUUACAAAUGUCUUAACAAUGAGCAAAUGUGCAAGGAAAAAAUAUAUUAAGACAAAUCUAAGGUAGCAACAAUUGCAGAGACAGAUGAAUCUGCAGAAUCAGAAGGUGUAAUUGAUUCUCAUAAACGUAGAGAAAUCCUUUCACGAAGACCCUCUUAUAGGAAAAUACUGAAUGAACUGUCCUCUGAUGUGCCUGGUGUUCCCAAGAUUGAAGAAGAAAGAUCAGAGGAAGAAGGAACACCACCUAGCAUUGCUACCAUGGCAGUACCAACUAGCAUAUAUCAGACUAGCACGGGGCAAUACAGUAUGUAUGCUGCAAUUCGAUAUGAUACAGUGCUAGCUUUAAGUCUUCUCUAGUUAUAUUGAAGCAACUCAGGUUUUGGCAUUAAAUUGUUCCAUUUUAAAAUGCAUCACUAAUACCUAAACUGUAUCAUAGAAUGAAAGUAUAUGUUAAAAAGUGAGAUAUUUGUAUUGACGGCUGUCAUAUAAU